GACGUCACAAUCGAAAUGCACCCGCUGCAGUGACCACGUGACCAUGCGAGAGAUUCGUAAACAAAGAUGGCGGCACCCAUAAAACAACCUGUCAUCCCUACGCUGUUUGACGAUUCUAACAACUAUAGGGCUUACGUACAUAUCGUAUUCUGACAGUAAGGUAAUAAAUCAUCAGGAAAAUCAAUGUAAUC
This is a long non-coding RNA of Haliotis rubra (blacklip abalone), 191 nucleotides long. RefSeq lists it as uncharacterized. The record is from RefSeq and is a predicted model, not a curated record. The transcript is spliced from 4 exons. Lineage: Eukaryota; Metazoa; Mollusca; Gastropoda; Lepetellida; Haliotidae.